Bos taurus (domestic cattle) is the source of this 301-nucleotide long non-coding RNA. The record is from Ensembl. Lineage: Eukaryota; Metazoa; Chordata; Mammalia; Artiodactyla; Bovidae.
UCUUGCCUGGAGAAUUCCAGGGACACUGGAGGCUGGCAGGCUACGGUCUACGGCGUCACAAAGAGUUGGACACGUCUUAGCAACUAAAUAACAACAGUGUCAGGAAAGUCAUUCCUGGUUCUCUUUCUCCAGGGACCCCCUAACCUAUCUGCUUACAGAGGGAGAAAGAAAAGAAACAGAGAAAGGAAGAAGAAAAGAGACAGAAGAAGGAAGGAUGGAAGGAAGGAAGACAGGAUCUCAGUUCCCUGACCAGGGAUUGAACCUGGGCCAUAGCAGCGAAGCCGCAGAAUCUAAACACUAG